CUGGACAAAGGACUUUCACAGGAGAUUGAAACCUGACGAUUUACUGUCAUCUGCACAUACAACUCCUUCUACAGUGUUGAAACGAGCUGCAGGCACAGGGCAGGUGACAGUAGCAGCUGGUGGAUUCCAGAAGAGUAACUUGGAAUGAAGGCUUGGGAGUAUGUGACAGGAAAAACAUGACAGGAGAGAGUGCAUAUCCCAAGAUCAGCUGAAAAAUAAAUGGACACAGAAUUUCUUUUAAGUUCCACUUUUAUUUUCUUG
Molecule: long non-coding RNA, 261 nt
Filed under: Rattus norvegicus (Norway rat)
Lineage: Eukaryota; Metazoa; Chordata; Mammalia; Rodentia; Muridae
Description: long non-coding RNA NONRATT031393
Source: RNAcentral